RNAcentral lists this long non-coding RNA (713 nucleotides) under Glycine max (soybean). RNAcentral describes it as "long non-coding RNA (GMAX_LNC004749)". The record is from RNAcentral. Lineage: Eukaryota; Viridiplantae; Streptophyta; Magnoliopsida; Fabales; Fabaceae.
GCCUAAUUGUGAUAUCUCUAACCUUAUUUUAGGGUUCUAAGAGAGCAUAAAGGUUUUAGUCAUAAUAAACCCCUAAUUUGGGGGAUGGGUAGAAUGAAGAUGGUCUAGGGAAUGUAAAAAUAGCACAUAAUAAGGCACCCCAAAAAAAAAAAAAAAAAAAAAAAAAAAAAAAAAAGAGGUGCCAUAAGUGCUAAGGUUGGAAAUAAGAAAAAUAGAUUGCAUAUGUGUUAAGGCUGAAAAACAAAUAAAGCCUAGGCUAAGUAUAAGUUUUUCUAGGAUGAAUGCUCUCUUAUAACCUUAAGUUUGAAAUCCCAGAAAAACCAUGAUUUCUUGUCUAGUCAGGCCCCAUUACAAGCCAAUAAAAGUCCUUAGUGAUCCACCAAAUGUAAGUAAGAAUAACUUUAAUUGAGAUGAAGUGCAAAAUUUGGGAAUCUUAAUUGCAGGUCGUAUAAAUUUUAAACACUCACCCCAGACACUUGUGCGUAGAGAUAAACACUAACCUUGUGAGGAAAGUGAGGCAAACCAACUUGAUUGAUUUCCGAUACUAACCAAUUUCAUCUUGAUGUAAUUUAUGCUUCCAUUGUGGGAUUAUGACAAAUGCGGAAAGGACCAGUUGGAAGAAUCUGAGAAAUUGUAGCCAUUGAAAGUGUUGAAGCAUUCGGAGCCUGCUUUUAAUUUGAUUUGCUUGGGGACAAGCAAAGUUUUAAUUUGGG